AGAGUUUGAUCCUGGCUCAGGAUGAACGCUAGCUACAGGCUUAACACAUGCAAGGUCGAGGGGAAACGACAUCGAAAGCUUUGCUUUUGAUGGGCGUCGACCGGCGUACGGGUGAGUAACGCGUAUCCAACCUGCCCACCACUUGGGGAUAACCUUGCGAAAGUAAGACUAAUACCCAAUGAUAUCUCUAGAAGACAUCUGAAAGAGAUUAAAGAUUUAUCGGUGAUGGAUGGGGAUGCGUCUGAUUAGCUUGUUGGCGGGGUAACGGCCCACCAAGGCAACGAUCAGUAGGGGUUCUGAGAGGAACGGUCCCCCACAUUGGAACUGAGACACGGUCCAAACUCCUACGGGAGGGAGCA
Molecule: ribosomal RNA, 359 nt
Filed under: uncultured bacterium
Lineage: Bacteria
Description: bacterial SSU rRNA
Rfam family: Bacterial small subunit ribosomal RNA
Source: RNAcentral